GUGCUUGCUUCAGCAAUAGAUAUGUUAAGAUUGGAACAAAAUUGAGAAAAAUAGUAUGACCCUUACAUAAGGAUAACAUGCAAAUUUGUGAAACAUAUCAUAGCUUU
This 107-nucleotide small nuclear RNA is filed under the name Carlito syrichta (Philippine tarsier). The record is from RNAcentral. Lineage: Eukaryota; Metazoa; Chordata; Mammalia; Primates; Tarsiidae.